RNAcentral lists this ribosomal RNA (428 nucleotides) under uncultured bacterium. RNAcentral describes it as "bacterial SSU rRNA". It matches the Rfam family "Bacterial small subunit ribosomal RNA", at positions 29 to 502 of the family's 1533-position model. The record is from RNAcentral.
AACGAACGCUGGCGGCAUGCCUAACACAUGCAAGUCGAACGAACCCUUCGGGGUUAGUGGCGCACGGGUGCGUAACGCGUGGGAACCUGCCUUUAGGUUCGGAAUAACUCAGAGAAAUUUGAGCUAAUACCGGAUAAUGUCUUCGGACCAAAGAUUUAUCGCCUUUAGAUGGGCCCGCGUUAGAUUAGAUAGUUGGUGGGGUAACGGCCUACCAAGUCGACGAUCUAUAGCUGGUCUGAGAGGAUGAUCAGCCACACUGGGACUGAGACACGGCCCAGACUCCUACGGGAGGCAGCAGUGGGGAAUAUUGGACAAUGGGCGAAAGCCUGAUCCAGCAAUGCCGCGUGAGUGAUGAAGGCCUUAGGGUUGUAAAGCUCUUUUACUAGGGAUGAUAAUGACAGUACCUAGAGAAUGAAGCUCCGCUAACU